RNAcentral lists this ribosomal RNA (119 nucleotides) under Pteropus alecto (black flying fox). Lineage: Eukaryota; Metazoa; Chordata; Mammalia; Chiroptera; Pteropodidae. The record is from RNAcentral.
UAUUAUGGCCAUGCCACCCUGAACACGCCCAAUGUUUUCUGAUCUCAGAAGCUAAGCAGGAUCGGGCCUGGUUACUACUUGGAUGGGAGACCACCUAAGAAUACCAGGUGCUGUAGGCG